This 1020-nucleotide long non-coding RNA is filed under the name Anolis carolinensis (green anole). RNAcentral describes it as "lncRNA (ENSACAG00000029229.2)". The record is from RNAcentral. Lineage: Eukaryota; Metazoa; Chordata; Lepidosauria; Squamata; Anolidae.
AUGACACCUUCACGAUUUGGAGCCAUGGAGAGGAAGAACUCAGCAAGUUCCUGGACCACUCUUAACAGCAUCCACCCAAACAUCCAAUUCACCAUGGAAAAAGAAAAGGAAGGAAAACUGCCAUUUCUAGAUGUUCUGGUCAUCCGCAAACCCAAUCAACAAUUGGGCCACACAGUUUACAGAAAACCUACUCACACAGAUAGAUACCUUCAUAAAAACUCCAACCAUCGCCCAAGUCAAAAAAGGAGCACAAUCAAAGCCCUGACAGACCGUGCACAAAGAAUCUGCGAACCUCACCUCCUCCAAGGUGAACUCAACCACCUAAACUGGGCUCUACAGGCCAAUGGAUACUCCACCACAGACAUCAGAAGAGCUGCAAGGCCAAGAACAAGCCAUGGGAGUCAAGACAAAGAUCCACCCAGAGGAAAGGUGUUCUUACCAUACAUCAAGGGAACUACUGACCGCAUAGGGAAGCUGAUGAAGAAGCACAACCUACAAACUAUCUACAGACCCACGAAGAAAAUCCAACAAAUGCUACGGUCAGCGAAGGACAAGAGGGAUCCUCUCUCUUCUGCAGGAGUCUACCGGAUACCAUGCAGCUGUGGACAAGUCUACAUAGGGACCACCAAACGCAGCGCCCAAACAAGAGUCAAAGAACAUGAAAGGCACUGCAGACUAAUUCAACCAGAGAAAUCAGCCAUAGCAGAGCAUUUGAUGAACCAGCCUGGACACAGAAUACUAUUUGAGAACACAAAAAUGCUGGACCAUUCUAACAACUAUCAUGUCAGACUACACAGAGAAGCCAUUGAAAUCCACAAGCAUGUGGACAACUUCAACAGAAAGGAAGAAACCAUGAAAAUGAACAAAAUCUGGCUACCAGUAUUAAAAAACUCAAGAAUCAGAACAGUAAAUAAAAAGCAAUACUAUGAAAACAGAGGAUUUCCAGACAUGAAUCAACCUAGGGCAGUUAACGACUCUAAACAAAGGAUGCCCCAGAGGCAGGAAGAAGACAGCAGAUAA